Long non-coding RNA from Ochotona princeps (American pika), 409 nucleotides. RefSeq lists it as uncharacterized. The record is from RefSeq and is a predicted model, not a curated record. NCBI's taxonomy places the organism in Eukaryota, Metazoa, Chordata, Mammalia, Lagomorpha, Ochotonidae. The transcript is spliced from 3 exons.
AUGUGUUCUCAUUUCAUCAGCAGUCUCGUUCUCAUCCUUAUGGGAUGGUGUGGAGCCCAGCACUCCUCAGCCAAUCUAGGUAGACGCAGGCCUUGACCUUGAACAUUUCCAAGUGACGUAGAACCCACAGGCCCAGAGGCCCCCAACAGCUUCCUGUGUGGGGUUCAGAAACCCGCCUUCCCUCCCAGCCUCAAAGGCUUGUUUCGGAAAAUGAAGUAAGAAGCCAUCACACCUGCGCCAUCUUAGUGCACUGAGCGUCCAGGGAGGAGGAUGGGGCCAGGCACUUGCCGGCGGGUCCUGGGACUCUGGCUCCUAGCAGUUGCCGUGUGGGGAUUGGAAGGUGAGUAAUGCUUUCCAUUUUCAUUAUAACAUCCACCAUGCUUCCCAGUAUUUCUGAUUGGAGCUUUCU